Molecule: long non-coding RNA, 884 nt
Organism: Choloepus didactylus (southern two-toed sloth)
Lineage: Eukaryota; Metazoa; Chordata; Mammalia; Pilosa; Megalonychidae
Exons: 4
Source: RefSeq, a predicted model, not a curated record
AACCCCUUCCGCACUCCCGGGGCGACCCCGGCCCAGAUCCCCGCGCUCCCCUGAGAUUCGGCCUCGGGAAGGAGAGACCAGGUGUGGUUGGACCCGCGACGCCGACGGCGCUGACGGUGUUUCUGUUUCCCUCUCGCUGAGCUCCGGGGACGCGCGGAGUCGGCGCCUCUUUCUCUCCCUUCAGCCCCUGAGCACGGGAUCGCCCUGGGGAGGGUGAUGGGCCGAGAACCACGUAGGCUCAAACCCCGGUUCCUCCUUUCUCGCGCGGAGUGACUUCCGGCUGCUUCGGGAACUCUCCUGGGCCUCUUCUCACCGUUUAUGAAAUGGGGACAUCACAGUGCAGGGUCCCAUGAGGGCGGAAUCGGAUCACGCCUCCGCUCUGGUCGGUCCCGGGCCUCCGCUUGAGUGUCUUGGUAACUGUACUCUGACUUCAGUGGAAACGGGACACUGAAACCACAAGAGACCUGAGAAAUGAAGUCUUGCAAGACUUGAGGCCAGUCUGAGUUGAACCAGAGUGGGCAGAAGACGUCUUCAGUUGGAAGCCAGGAGCCUAAAGAGGGAGGUGUGAACAGAGAGGACUGUGAAAGCUUCCAGGAGCAGAGGAGGGACCUGGGUCCUGUGUGCUGUCAUCAUCGCUGUGGUCCUUUGUGAGGUCAGAGCAGACAGCUCUGCCAGGUGCCUCAAGCUGGUGAACAGAGUUCAGGCUGUGCUUUGGCUUAUAAAUGCAGUUUUGUUUUUACUUCAUCCCAAAUAUUUUGAUUUGUGUUUGGACUUAUGUCACCUUAUGAAUGUUUAAAAUACUUAUUUAUUAACCAAGAAGAGAUUAUGAAAUGUAUAACAGCUUACUGUUUGGGAUUUUAUUUACUGACAUUUUCAGUAUUCAG